Falco peregrinus (peregrine falcon) is the source of this 2979-nucleotide long non-coding RNA. RefSeq lists it as uncharacterized. The record is from RefSeq and is a predicted model, not a curated record. The transcript has 3 exons. Lineage: Eukaryota; Metazoa; Chordata; Aves; Falconiformes; Falconidae.
CUGGAUUUUUGGUCAAUGAAUCAUCUGACAGGUGAGGCUAUCCUCUUUCUUCUACUAUAAAUGUGUACAGACUUUGCCACACAUGGACUUGAAGAACCUAAUCUCACAUUGGCUCUAGACAAGUGAAGAGGCAAAAUGAGGAUCUUAAGCUUCCUACAGCAUCAAAAUACUACAUGUUCUUGGGGAGAUCCACCAGCAGUCAGCAUCACCCCCCGUGCAGCUGAAGGAAAUCCUUUCAGGGCUGUAUCCUUUACAAGCAAAGCUCCAGGGGUCUGACCCAGCCUCCUCUAUGCUCCCCAGCUCUGAGAUCUGUCCAAGCAUCAGCAGAAAAGUCUUCCAGCUGCAACACACGAAAAAGGGAGAUUGCAUUAACGUUGCACAGUGAUACCUCAGCACACGCCACAGGCUCGACGCUGUUCUUUCCUCCUCACUACAGUCCUUCAAAGGAUAAUUUCAACAAGUAAACUAAGCCUACAAAUACAUUGGUGAUAUCAAGAGAUUUCAGACUGCUGAUCAACACAGGGAGUGCAAAGUGUAGGGGACAGUCAACAAGGUGUGGGCACAUUCCAUACCCCAUUUUCCUGAACAGAGUUUUACUUGUGCCGCUAAAGAGAACUGAUGUCUCUCAAAGAGGAGAUGCAGGACCCGCCUUCACAUGUGCUAAAGAACUUCUGCAAGUGUUGGCACCAUUAGUGCAAGUCAGUGUUAAGUCCAAGCAGAUUGCUCUUGUCUGUCUCAUUGCUUUGAUAUGGGUCGUCUGAAAUCAUCAUGUGACAUCCACCAACACUGAAGAUCACAAACUGAUCACCCUGAGCCUCUGGAAGACAGGGAAUGAAACAGAUUAACUGAAAACAGAAUCUGAAGAACGUGUGCUUGCAUAAAUACAACGCAAGACACGGUUUGGCUGGUGGAAAGUUACGGUGACAAUGAAGAAGUCAAGGAGAAUGCAGCUUGGAUUUCAAGAUGAUCAGAAGCCUGCAGAGCUGGCAAGUGGACAAAUAUGUCUUGUAAACUCAACAAAAUUCCAUAAAAGCUGCUAUUACAUAGACAUGAAACUAUAUCACACCAUAUUUUCUGUACUGUUGUUCAGAGUAUGACUUCAGUAGUGUAGAAGGCCUUUCAACAUGUAUUUUGUACUCCUUUAUUUCUGGUAAAGAAACAGAGAAAGAAGGAAGAAAAAUUCUGAUUGCACACGUAAAUUUGUCCUUUCAGUGCUAGGGGAUAAAGUCACACUUUCACAGCUGCAGGUUUUGGGCCAGAAGAUUUUUUUUCUGCAUGGCUGAGCUUUUAGAACAGCAGCACAUCUGAAACCGAGUGCAGAUGGAUAGUAAGAGUGGGCAGAGGUAGCAACUGCAUUUAAAUGGUUUAUGUGUUGUCUUCCUACUGGCAUAACAGCAGACCCAUGAGAAAGUCAUAAAAAUAAACCAGAAUGUUUAAGAAAGUUAUAAAAAUAAUAGGAGAAAGCACAAGCAUUAUCCCCAACUCCAUAUUGACCCUGAGGCCAGCUUCUCCAUUAGGGACACUUCUGUUUUAUGUCAGUGAGGGCAGGGGAGGGAUGGAAGAAAUAAACAUUUAUUCACAUUAACAUACAAAGUAUGCUGCUGAUGUUUAUAACCUUUUUUCUUUAUACUCAAUGGUAGGAAGUGGUAGGAAACCAGAAUACACACUCUUCAGCUUACGGUAACUGCAAGCAGAAUAUAGAUUGCCAUCAACAUGAAGUUAGGGGCUUAGCCACAGGGUCUUAUGGCAGAUGCUUAGACCAAGAGACAUUUUGAAUACUUCACAAACAUUCUCGGAGACAUGGACUUCCCAGCUCUCAUCCCAAGAGUAAAGACUUGCUGUUUUCACAAGCGAAUAAAAUCAUGGUAUUUUUUUAUAAAGAUAGUACAGCAAUAUGGUACAUUAUGUGGUGGAUUUCUUCUGCGAGUAACCACAAAUUGCUACACACUGCAAGUAACCACAAAUUGUAAGUACUGCUGCAAGUACUUACAGUACCAGUAGUUCCUUAGACUAAAGAACCCUGAAAUAUCUGGGCAUAUAGGCUCAAAAGUUAUCUAUCUUUUGAGAGGAAGGAGAAGUAAUCAUUGGACUCAGACUAUAGACACUUAAUGUUUUCUCAUACUUUAAUCAAAGCCCAAUUAGUCACAAGACAAAUUUAAACAGACUUCAGCAAUAAAAUGGUUGUCUCAGGCUUGUCUUACGCAACCAAAGGGCAAAAGAAUAAUGUUUUUUUUAAUGGAAAACAUUUUUGAGUUAACAUUUACAAAGUUAACUGCCAAAUCACACCCUUUGCAAAAGAAAAACAUUUUAAUUGGCUUUCAAAUUUUUCCUGAUGAGGAUGACUUGUUAUCUUUUCCAUCCAUGCACCUAAAACCACCCUCUGACUGAGAGGAGUUCUUCAGGUACUAUGUUAGCGCUGUUGUCAUUAUUCUCAGUGUAGUAUCUGGACGAUUGCGGUAGCUCUAUAAAAAGUUUUCCUGAUGGCACACAAAUCUUGUCAGCCAAUGUACUUAAUUCCGCUCUUAGCUGGUGUGCUCUCAAGAUAAAUAACUAACAAAUUAUACAUGUGACUUCAUUUAAUAGUCUUGGUAAACUAUUUAUUAUGUCUGUGGCUAUAUGCUGCUCUUGCUUUGUCUCCCACCCUUCACUUUGCACAAUUUAGUGAUUAAUGGAUAAAAAAGACAAAACCUCCACCAGUUUGAACAAACAGUUCUGGGGACUUGAUACAGCAGGGCACGAUUCCAAAUUUGAGGAGGCGCCAGUAAACUAAUGAAGAAUGUUACUGAUCUGCUCUAGCCAUGUGGAAUCGGGAUCUCAUCUUGUGCAAACUACUCAGGGUCAAACACAGUCAACAUUCAGCUUACGAGUCCUCAGGAUGCUCCUGAGUGUUGAUGAUUCACCAAGUCUGACCCAGUCUCUCAGCUUGCUCCUAGGAAGCACCACUCCAGUAAGUGGGAUACUGAAGUCCCAGGUUUUUGA